This 500-nucleotide ribosomal RNA is filed under the name uncultured bacterium. RNAcentral describes it as "partial 16S ribosomal RNA". It matches the Rfam family "Bacterial small subunit ribosomal RNA", at positions 29 to 523 of the family's 1533-position model. The record is from RNAcentral.
AUUGAACGCUGGCGGCAUGCCUUACACAUGCAAGUCGAACGGCAGCACGGGAGCAAUCCUGGUGGCGAGUGGCGAACGGGUGAGUAAAGUAUCGGAACGUGCCCAGUCGUGGGGGAUAACGUAGCGAAAGUUGCGCUAAUACCGCAUACGAUCUAUGGAUGAAAGCGGGGGAUCGCAAGACCUCGCGCGAUUGGAGCGGCCGAUAGAAGAUUAGGUAGUUGGUGGGGUAAAGGCACACCAAGGCGACGAUCUGUAGCUGGUCUGAGAGGACGGCCAGCCACACUGGGACGGAGACACGGGCCAGACUCCUACGGGAGGCAGCAGUGGGGAAUUUUGGACAAUGGGCGAAAGCCUGGUCCAGCCAUGCCGCGUGCAGGAUGGAGGCCUUCGGGUUGUAAACUGCUUUUGUACGGAACGAAAAGGUUUGGGCUGAUAAGCUGAGCUCAUGACGGUACCGUAAGAAUAAGCACCGGCUAACUACGUGCCAGCCGCCGCAGUAA